UGAGUGUGGGAGGGAGAAGCCCAGAGAGAGCAGGCACAGCAGAGGGAGACCUGUCUAGACAGAAGUGCUGUUCUGCCUGUUAUGAAAACAAUGGCACCAAUACACCAUACUAGCUGAUCCAACUACUCAGCACAAAGAGAAAAAUUAUUCUGGGAGCCUCAGUGCCUGGUUUAUUGGAGAUAAUGUACAUUGAAGAGAACAUACAUCAGCUGUCAUCCAUCAGAUCCCACCCCUUGCUAACCACCAGCCCCCCAAAAGAAAUACAAGAGCCACUCAGGACUAGUAUGAAAACAGCAGAUCCUUUUAUUAAUAAGUGUAAUAAAUUAUUUAGACAAAAAUUAGAAUUGAGUUUAUGACCAAAAGAGCGUGGAAUCACGUGCUUGUCCCACUGUUAAUACUGUAACGUGUUACCUGUCAUACCAGUCACCCUCAGCAGCCACAUUGGAUGGGAAUUUAGGGCAUCCAAACAUAAAUCAUCUCUCCAGAGAGCCUAAUCCGCAGAGAAUCAAAUGCCCACACCUUUCUGACUGCCAUUUACAUUGCCUGCCCCUGUAAGUUGUGAAAUUCAAUCAAAAAGACCCACCAACUACAGACUCCAACAAAUGGGUGGGAUGGAUGCUGCUCCUCUGCUCCAAUUGAUUUCCUUGGGAAAACCCUGUUUCCUGACUCAGUCAAAGCUCUACCUUCUAUUUCCAGGUCUACAGGUACAGUUCUAUUCCCUGCGCGCCCUCUCUCUCUCUCUCUCUCUGCUGAUGUCACAGCCCUGAGACGAGACACGGGGAGAUGGAGGGAGGGAGGCCAAGAGAGGAGGGACAGUCGGGAGAGCAGCUCAGAAUGAAAUGCUGAGAAGGGAAAGCGCACAUCUCAGGAGUGAGGGGAAAAAGGAUCAGGAGUGAAGGGGAAAAAGGAGAGCACAAGUACUGCUGCUGCCUUUAACCUUAAACAAAUAUGUGUAUCCAACCAUGUCCCUGCGUGAUUGCUUUCUCCCCCGCACUGUCUCGACUAGGGUUGCCAUCUUUUAAAAAAAAAAAAAUACCGGGCAGUGGUGGGGGCGGAUAAUAAAGGGACGGACCGUGACGCAAAGGGGGGCGGAGCCGACGUUCAGCGGCACAAAAAGGGGUGGGCCACAGGGUAGCGCCGCAAAAGGGGAGGGGCCACAUCGCAGAAGCCAAAGGAAAUGUAUGUUUUUACUGGAGGGCAAGGGCCUUUGUAAAGGGUAUUACAAAUUACCGGCAGCUACAUUGCCGGUAAAUCUGUAAUACCGGCCCCGGCAGGUGUUUUACCGGCUAGGCCAGUAAAAUACCGGCAGGGUGGCAACCCUAGUCUCGACUGAAAAGAUCCCCUUUCCCUCAUUACACCCAGUGCUGCAAGUUUAAACUUCAGUAAACAUUUGCAUUUAAGCCAUUUCGUUGCCUAGUAAGUAUGACAGUCAAUGGGAUUGCUCCGUGCAGAAUGAUGUGAUAUCAAAAGAGGGAGCUGUAGAGAAUGUGUCUGGCCAUUCAUGUUUCAUUUGUUGUAUUUACAAAUGGCUAAAACUAUGGCAGCAUAGGUAUUCCCCUGUACUAAGCACAAUUCAGCAGGAACAGUCCCUUAAGUUUGCUCAUAGUCAUAGUGUACAGAGAAAUCCCAUAUAUUGUAGUGGCUUCACAUUUCAUUUUGCCUGGGAUCCAGCAUGUCAGACUGAAUGUCGGCCACCACACAUUUUCACCUCACCAAAUCUGCCCCUCCUUGUAAAAAGUUUGGACACCCCUGCUCUAAAUUCACUUUUUGAUAUUGAUAAAUAUUGAUAAAUAUUACACUAGUGCCCCUUCCCCAAUAUACAGUCUACAGCCGCACUGGGUGAAAAUAGGAGCCUAAACACACGCUGGGAAAGAACUAGAAACAAGACAGCAAGUCGGCAAGAACUAUUUAGUGAGGGCAACUAACUAGAUUUCCGCUAACUAGCAGGAAACACAAAAAAAAAAUUCUCGCGCCAUUUCCCCAGCAAACAGGGGCGGAGCAAGCAGCAUCGUCAUCGAAGGCGGCGCAGCUUCAAGGAAAGGGGCGUGGCUACGUUGUUGCGUGAGGGAACGCGGGAGCUGUGGAGAAAGUUUGGCGCGAGUGCAGCCUGGACUUGAAGGAACUGAACGCCGCGUGUCGUUCGCAAGUUGCAGCAUGCCUGUGGGACAGAGCUCGGCCGAACCGGUGUCACCCGCAUCUGAAAUGGAGCCACCUGCUGAUGACUUAAUCACUGAAUCCAUGAUAAGGGAAGAGGAAAAGCUGGAAAAAGCUGCUGCGGUGGAGGAGAGAAAGAUGAUUGAGAAGGUAAAGACUUUUUUUUUUUU
This is a long non-coding RNA of Xenopus laevis (African clawed frog), 2324 nucleotides long. RefSeq lists it as uncharacterized. The transcript is spliced from 3 exons. The record is from RefSeq and is a predicted model, not a curated record. NCBI's taxonomy places the organism in Eukaryota, Metazoa, Chordata, Amphibia, Anura, Pipidae.